GGAUGCCAUGAGGUAUCUGAUGCUUGGUCUUCUUUCAUGGCCUUGUUUCUCGUUAGAUUGGCAUACAUCAAGAAGGAAACGGGUUUUUGCGACACUGGUUGCUCUCAUACAAGGAGCUUCCAUUUACUAUACCCCCGUUUAACCAU
Molecule: non-coding RNA, 146 nt
Organism: Hordeum vulgare subsp. vulgare (domesticated barley)
Lineage: Eukaryota; Viridiplantae; Streptophyta; Magnoliopsida; Poales; Poaceae
Source: Rfam